RNAcentral lists this ribosomal RNA (504 nucleotides) under uncultured bacterium. Its description in RNAcentral is "bacterial SSU rRNA". It matches the Rfam family "Bacterial small subunit ribosomal RNA", at positions 16 to 507 of the family's 1533-position model. The record is from RNAcentral.
AUCCUGGCUCAGGAUGAACGCUAGCUACAGGCUUAACACAUGCAAGUCGAGGGGAAACGACAUCGAAAGCUUGCUUUUGAUGGGCGUCGACCGGCGCACGGGUGAGUAACGCGUAUCCAACCUGCCCAUCACUUGGGGAUAACCUUGCGAAAGUAAGACUAAUACCCAAUGACGUCUCUAGAAGACAUCUGAAGGAGAUUAAAGAUUUAUCGGUGAUGGAUGGGGAUGCGUCUGAUUAGCUUGUUGGCGGGGUAACGGCCCACCAAGGCGACGAUCAGUAGGAGUUCUGAGAGGAAGGUCCCCCACAUUGGAACUGAGACACGGUCCAAACUCCUACGGGAGGCAGCAGUGAGGAAUAUUGGUCAAUGGACGAGAGUCUGAACCAGCCAAGUAGCGUGCAGGAAGACGGCCCUAUGGGUUGUAAACUGCUUUUAUAAGGGAAUAAAGUGAGUCUCGUGAGACUUUUUGCAUGUACCUUAUGAAUAAGGACCGGCUAAUUCCGUG